GGAGAAAACGUCCUUAAUCACCACAAUCCAUGUGUAAUUAAUCCAAACAAAGAUAGGAAAUUGGAACUUACAACACAUAAACUUCCUCCUGCGUCCAGGACCCGAUGAACAGAACUAGCAAUUUCUUUUUUUUCUUUUUUUUUUCUCUUUGUAUUUUAACAAACACAAUCCUUUAAAGCCACAGAAUGUGAAGCUAUUUUAAGACAACUCAUGCAAAUUUUCACUAGUAACGAUUCUUUCUCCAUUUGCAUGUAGAUUUUACAACACGUUAAUUAUCUUCUUUUUUUUCUGUUCACAAUCUAAAAGGGUCAAUAAAUGUAAUAUGCAGACAGUAAGAGAAAAAAAAAACCCACGCCUGAAGAAGAAUUUUUGCAUCUGCAAUCUUGAUCAGCUUGAAUUCCCCAAAUCAAUGGACUUCUUGGUACAAGAACUGGAAACUAAAAUCAAACAAUAUAAUUCCCCAUCCAUCAAAACCAAAACAAAUCACUAGUAAAACUAAAAUUUAGCAAAAUUCGACGUUUCUGAAGCUUUCCUUUUCUUCUUCAACAACAUUGUUUAGGAGAUAACUUCUUGUCAUUAGAGAGGAGCAGAUCAAAUCGUAGGUUCUAUGUGUAAGCGAUCCCGCUGGCCAAAAAUUGUAAUUAUAUUAUAUACAUAUAUAUAAAUAAAAGAGCUUCAACAACAAAAAGAAAAAGAGAAAAACAGAGGCUUUUUCCAAGAAGAAGAGAAGGAACAGAGGAAACAGGGGAAACAAAACUCAAGAAGUACAAUGUUUCUCCAAUUGCAUGUAGAUUGUACAAUGUUUUGAGUACACCUUCUGCCAAAUUCAACAAGUAGUAGUCACGUUAAUUUUUUUUUUUUGUUCACAAUCUAAAAGGGUCAAUUAAUGAAAUGCAAACAGUAGACAUAAAACCCACCAUUCAAGAAGAAUUCUGGCAUCAAUACUUCUUGGUACAAGAACUUGAAACUAAAAUCGAAUAAUACAAUUCCCUAUCAAUCAAAACCAAAAUAAAUCACCAUUUAACAAAAAUUCGACAUUUUUGAAGCUUUUUUCUUUAACGACAUUGUGUCAGGAAAUAACUUCUUGUUAUUAGAGACAAGAAGAACAAAUUGUAGGUUCUAUGUGUAACUGAUCCCGCUGGCAAAUACUGCAAUUUAUAUAUAUAAAGAAGAAGAGCUUCGACAGCAAAAGAGAGAGAGAACAGAGGUUUUUUCUCAAGAAGAAUAAACGAAACAGAGAAAACAGGAAAGAAUAA
RNAcentral lists this long non-coding RNA (1256 nucleotides) under Ricinus communis (castor bean). Its description in RNAcentral is "long non-coding RNA (RCOM_LNC002982)". The record is from RNAcentral. Lineage: Eukaryota; Viridiplantae; Streptophyta; Magnoliopsida; Malpighiales; Euphorbiaceae.